CGGUUCCCGGGGUUAGACGGAGGAUGCAAGUGUUAUCCGGAAUCACUGGGCGUAAAGCGUCUGUAGGAGGUCAAAUAAGUCAACUGUUAAAUCUUGAGGCUCAACCUCAAAACCGCAGUCGAAACUAUUAGACUAGAGUAUAGUAGGGGUAAAGGGAAUUUCCAGUGGAGCGGUGAAAUGCGUAAAGAUUGGAAGGAACACCGAUGGCGAAUGCACUUUACUGGGCUAUUACUAACACUCAGAGACGAAAGCUAGGGUAGCAAAUGGGAUUAGAUACCCCAGUAGUCCUAGCUGUAAACAAUGGAUACUAGAUGUUGAACAGAAUCGACCUGUGCAGUAUCAAAGCUAACGCGUUAAGUAUCCCGCCUGGGAAGUAUGCUCGCAGAGUGAAACUCAAAGGAAUUGACGGGGGCCCGCACAAGCGGUGGAGCAUGUGGUUUAAUUCGAUGCAACACGAAGAACCUUUACCAGGGUUUGACAU
Molecule: ribosomal RNA, 481 nt
Filed under: uncultured cyanobacterium
Lineage: Bacteria; Bacillati; Cyanobacteriota
Description: bacterial SSU rRNA
Rfam family: Bacterial small subunit ribosomal RNA
Source: RNAcentral